Molecule: long non-coding RNA, 865 nt
Organism: Pseudophryne corroboree (corroboree frog)
Lineage: Eukaryota; Metazoa; Chordata; Amphibia; Anura; Myobatrachidae
Exons: 3
Source: RefSeq, a predicted model, not a curated record
UAGGCCACGCCCCCGAGUAUGCUAGGUUCUCGUGGUCUGUCUGUUGUUCUCUGCUGCCUGGCAUGGCUACUCUUUCGGAGACUGACUCCUGUGAUCUGAGCUGCAUGGAGAGCUACGGAACACCUGUAGGUUCAUAGGCUGUGAUGGAUGCUGGCUGAUUGCUUCUCCAUCUGACGGUUUCUCUUCCUUGCAACUCCAGACUCUCCGCUGAAAUGAAAUGUGGCAUGUGAAAGAGGGACAAUGUAGAGAAUAUUCAUGUUGUCCAAAGCCUGAUCUUCACAUGUACUUACUAUUUUUUGUUUUAUGUCUUUGAAUUAAACCCCAAUGUUCAGAAACAAAGUUUCUUCAAUUAAGCACUCUGGACAGUACACUAUACUGUUAUAUAAAACCAGCCAAAAAUAGUAACAGAUUGAUAACCUAGCCCCAAAGCUUUGAAUGAUAUCCAUAUAUAAACCUGAUAUAAAGAUCUCCCUCCUCCCACAGUCAUGUGGUUAUCUACAAUUGACCACCUACACUGAGCAUUGAUUACAGUUGAAAAUGUGAUUGUCAUAGGCUACUAGAUGGCUGGAAGUCCCACUACCAGGAGAGAAUCUUCCAUACUGUAAGCAUCCCAGAAAUUCUGGUAAACAGAGGGAGGUGAAUAUUUGGCUUUAUAUUAUUACUGUGAGUUGGACUAAAUGCAAUUACCUACAUGUUUUGGCUAUUUUAUGACAUCUUUUUUUAUAUAUGUUUUAGGACAAUAAAAAUGUAAGGGACCACAGAAUAAGUAUUUUAUGUAGGGCAAGAUGACUUCAGAUAUCCUGUUUCUGUACACUGCUGGGUAUAUGCUAUCCUUAUCCUGUUCCUUAUAAAGUGGCAUCAUGUA